This 460-nucleotide ribosomal RNA is filed under the name uncultured bacterium. RNAcentral describes it as "partial 16S ribosomal RNA". It matches the Rfam family "Bacterial small subunit ribosomal RNA", at positions 338 to 795 of the family's 1533-position model. The record is from RNAcentral.
CCUACGGGAGGCAGCAGUGAGGAAUAUUGGGCAAUGGACGAGAGCCUGAACCAGCCAAGUAGCGUGAAGGAUGACUGCCCUAUGGGUGGUAAACUUCUUUUACAGGGGAAUAAAAUGUACCACGUGUGGGGUAUUGUAUGUACCAUAUGAAUAAGGAUCGGCUAACGCCGUGCCAGCAGCCGCGGUAAUACGGAGGAUCCGAGCGUUAUCAGGAUUUAUAGGGUUUAAAGGGAGCGUAGGUGGAGUGUUAAGUCAGUUGUGAAAGUUUGCGGCUCAACCGUAUAAUUGCAGUUGAAACUGGCAGUCUUGAGUACAGUAGAGGUAGGCGGAAUUCGUGGUGUAGCGGUGAAAUGCUUAGAUAUCACGAAGAACUCCGAUUGCGAAGGCAGCUCACUGGACUGCAACUGACACUGAGGCUCGAAAGUGUGGGUAUCAAACAGGAUUAGAUACCCCUGUAGUC